Molecule: ribosomal RNA, 492 nt
Filed under: uncultured bacterium
Lineage: Bacteria
Description: partial 16S ribosomal RNA
Rfam family: Bacterial small subunit ribosomal RNA
Source: RNAcentral
AGUGAACGCUGGCGGGAGGCCUAACACAUGCAAGUCGAACGGCAGCACAGUAAGAGCUUGCUCUUACGGGUGGCGAGUGGCGGACGGGUGAGGAAUACAUCGGAAUCUACUUUUUCGUGGGGGAUAACGUAGGGAAACGUACGCUAAUACCGCAUACGACCUACGGGUGAAAGCAGGGGAUCUUCGGACCUUGCGCGAUUGAAUGAGCCGAUGUCGGAUUAGCUAGUUGGCGGGGUAAAGGCCCACCAAGGCGACGAUCCGUAGCUGGUCUGAGAGGAUGAUCAGCCACACUGGAACUGAGACACGGUCCAGACUCCUACGGGAGGCAGCAGUGGGGAAUAUUGGACAAUGGGCGCAAGCCUGAUCCAGCCAUACCGCGUGGGUGAAGAAGGCCUUCGGGUUGUAAAGCCCUUUUGUUGGGAAAGAAAAGCAGCAGGUUAAUACCCCGCUGUUCUGACGGUACCCAAAGAAUAAGCACCGGCUAACUUCGUG